This 99-nucleotide non-coding RNA is filed under the name Chromera velia. The record is from RNAcentral. Lineage: Eukaryota; Chromeraceae.
AAGAAGGAAAAGAAAAAGAAAAAGAGGGAGAAAGAAAAAAAGUUAUUUCUUUUUGUGCUUCUUAUGUGGAUCGCAAUAAUUUGUUCCUCUUUCUUUCCU